Molecule: long non-coding RNA, 1935 nt
Filed under: Homo sapiens (human)
Lineage: Eukaryota; Metazoa; Chordata; Mammalia; Primates; Hominidae
Description: novel transcript
Source: RNAcentral
GACAACUCGCGGGGAUUGUUUUCCACACCGUGGAAGCUUUGUUCUUUUCGUUUUUUGCAAUAAAUCUUGUUGCUGCUCGCUUUUUGGGUCCACAUUGCUUUUAUGAGCUGUACCACUCACCGUGAAGAUCUGCAGCUUCACUUCAGAGCCUAGCGAGACCACAAGCUCACUGAGAGGAACAAACAACUCCAGACGCGCUGUCUUAAGAGCUAUAACACUCACCGCGAAGGUGUGCAGUUUCACUCCUGAGCUAGUGAGACUACGAAGCCACUGGAACGAAGAAACUCCAACCACGUUUGAACAUCAGAAGGGGCAGACUCCAGACGCUUCAUCUUAAGAGCUGUAACACUCACUGUGAAGGUCUGCAGCUUCACUCCUGAGCCAGCGAGACCACGAACCGAUCUGAACAUCAGAAGGGACAGACUCCAGAUGCCCCACCUUAAGAGCUGUAAUACUCACUGCAAGGGUCUGCAGCUUCAUUCUUGAAGUCAGACCAAGAACCCAGCAAUUCCCAACACACAGGGACCAGCUUCUUUCCUAACUCACUUAGGCUCUUCGUGCUGCUCUGGCAACUAACACCCUUGGCUGCAGGGGCUUGGACACUACCCUUAGUCACUGACAAUUGUGUGAAGGCUGCUGUCGUUAACUUCACUUGAUCACCUUAGGCUCCUGUGAAGUGGUGAGCAAUUCAAACAAAUUCCUGUCGUCAAAUCAUGAGUCCACCUGUCCCGAGUUGGAAGUCUGAACUCAUGUUCCUGGAUUCCUCCCAUGCAUCUUGGUGCUGGUGUGGGGCCUGAACUCAGCCAAUCCGCAACACCUCCAGGAGUCUUCCUCUUAGAUGCUGAGGCCACGGAGAAGGAAGCAGCACAAAGAAUGAACCCUGGAGAGGGUGCCAGAGGCAGGCGGGUUCCAGCCAUGUGGCGGCACAGCCUUACUGGGAUAGUCUAGCUGUGUCACUCAGGAUAUACAUCUUUCCACACCAAUAGACCUUGUUUUCCGAUGUAGCAUUAUUUUUCAUAGUUGGCGAAUAUACAGUUAUGGAUUCAUAACAGCAAGAUGGAGAAAUUGCACUGCAGAGAAAUCUUUAAAAGCAAUUACCUAAUACUGCAGAUUGCUGAACUGUACCCACACCCAAGACUGAGCAUUGGAUCAAUCCAGAAUAUACAUCAGGUGUUCUGCAAUGUCUGCCUAAAACCAUGACUCUGCCUCCUCCAGCUGUUGCUACAUCUCACUAUGGGUUUCCUGUGACAUUUUGAGCAAGUAUGCCUCUGUGACUGGGGUUCUUACACUCCAGAAUGGAUGAGAAGCACCGUAAGUGGCUUUUAAAAUGAAUAUUCCCUGGCCCUUCAGUCGCUCUAUAGGUCAAGAAUCUGAAUUCUCAACCUGUCUAGAAGGUUCUGGUUUUAAUGGUCUGUGGGCUGCACAUUGAGAAACCUGUUCAGCGAGUGCAACAAAGGUUCCACAUGUGAGAAAGGAAGCAUCAGGUCUCUUGAGCCUGUUCUUUAAUCUGUAGGCUGCACCUUCUCUUUAAAUUCUGCUAAUAACACCAUGCGAGAAAACACCCGAGCUUGAAAAGCCCAUGUUCCAACAUAACUGUCCUUCACCACUCUGGAAAAUUAAUGGUUUGUUUCGAUUAUCCCUUUGUUAAACUCCAAAGUCAAAGAGCUCUGAAAGGCAUACGGUUAUUUUAAGUUUCAGGUGAUUUCUGUUGCCAAAUAUUUUAAAAAUUUAAAAUUGCUACGUGACCUCUUAGUAGUACUAUUAGAUUUCCUGACAAUAAAAAUAAGUCUUUUGGUUUCACCAUUUAUAGUUAGUACAGCUAAUAUUAAGUAUAAUUUUAAAAGCCUUUUAUUUUCUCAGAAAGAAAAAAUAAUCAAAAUCUGCUCAGUGUGGUAUUGAAUAAUUAAAAACAAAAGAACAGUAUCUUCACAUUAG